GUAACUGUCCAUAAAUAACUUAGUCAACUAAGUUAUUUUAAAGUUACCCGCCUAAGUUCUUCGAGAACUACGUUAGGGAUGAAAACAUAGGUACUCUCGCGAUGCUUCUCCAGUCCGAGACUCUACGGGGAACUAUUAAACAGGUCCGAUGGAAAGGCCAGUGUAGUUUCCAUUCAAAACCGUCCUAUAACAUUGGCUAGGAGACUAUUAC
Non-coding RNA from Beggiatoa sp., 211 nucleotides. The record is from Rfam. Lineage: Bacteria; Pseudomonadati; Pseudomonadota; Gammaproteobacteria; Thiotrichales; Thiotrichaceae.